GGGUUGUGAGGUUAAGCGACUAAGCGUACACGGUGGAUGCCCUGGCAGUCAGAGGCGAUGAAGGACGUGCUAAUCUGCGAAAAGCGUCGGUAAGGUGAUAUGAACCGUUAUAACCGGCGAUGUCCGAAUGGGGAAACCCAGUGCAAUUCGUUGCACUAUCGUUAACUGAAUACAUAGGUUAACGAGGCGAACCGGGGGAACUGAAACAUCUAAGUACCCCGAGGAAAAGAAAUCAACCGAGAUUCCCCCAGUAGCGGCGAGCGAACGGGGAGCAGCCCAGAGUCUGAAUCAGCUUGUGUGUUAGUGGAACGGUCUGGAAAGUCCGACGGUACAGGGUGAUAGUCCCGUACACCAAAAUGCACAGGCUGUGAACUCGAAGAGUAGGGCGGGACACGUGGUAUCCUGUCUGAAUAUGGGGGGACCAUCCUCCAAGGCUAAAUACUCCUGACUGACCGAUAGUGAACCAGUACCGUGAGGGAAAGGCGAAAAGAACCCCGGCGAGGGGAGUGAAAAAGAACCUGAAACCGUGUACGUACAAGCAGUGGGAGCACCUUCGGGUGUGACUGCGUACCUUUUGUAUAAUGGGUCAGCGACUUAUAUUCUGUAGCAAGGUUAACCGUAUAGGGGAGCCGCAGGGAAACCGAGUCUUAACUGGGCGUUAAGUUGCAGGGUAUAGACCCGAAACCCGGUGAUCUAGCCAUGGGCAGGUUGAAGGUUGGGUAACACUAACUGGAGGACCGAACCGACUAAUGUUGAAAAAUUAGCGGAUGACUUGUGGCUGGGGGUGAAAGGCCAAUCAAACCGGGAGAUAGCUGGUUCUCCCCGAAAGCUAUUUAGGUAGCGCCUCGUGAACUCAUCUUCGGGGGUAGAGCACUGUUUCGGCUAGGGGGUCAUCCCGACUUACCAACCCGAUGCAAACUACGAAUACCGAAGAAUGUUAUCACGGGAGACACACGGCGGGUGCUAACGUCCGUCGUGAAGAGGGAAACAACCCAGACCGCCAGCUAAGGUCCCAAAGUCAUGGUUAAGUGGGAAACGAUGUGGGAAGGCACAGACAGCCAGGAUGUUGGCUUAGAAGCAGCCAUCAUUUAAAGAAAGCGUAAUAGCUCACUGGUCGAGUCGGCCUGCGCGGAAGAUGUAACGGGGCUAAACCAUGCACCGAAGCUGCGGCAGCGACACUAUGUGUUGUUGGGUAGGGGAGCGUUCUGUAAGCCUGCGAAGGUGUGCUGUGAGGCAUGCUGGAGGUAUCAGAAGUGCGAAUGCUGACAUAAGUAACGAUAAAGCGGGUGAAAAGCCCGCUCGCCGGAAGACCAAGGGUUCCUGUCCAACGUUAAUCGGGGCAGGGUGAGUCGACCCCUAAGGCGAGGCCGAAAGGCGUAGUCGAUGGGAAACAGGUUAAUAUUCCUGUACUUGGUGUUACUGCGAAGGGGGGACGGAGAAGGCUAUGUUAGCCGGGCGACGGUUGUCCCGGUUUAAGCAUGUAGGCUGAUUGUCCAGGCAAAUCCGGAUAAUCAAGGCUGAGGUGUGAUGACGAGGCACUACGGUGCUGAAGUAACAAAUGCCCUGCUUCCAGGAAAAGCCUCUAAGCAUCAGGUAACAUUAAAUCGUACCCCAAACCGACACAGGUGGUCAGGUAGAGAAUACCAAGGCGCUUGAGAGAACUCGGGUGAAGGAACUAGGCAAAAUGGUGCCGUAACUUCGGGAGAAGGCACGCUGGUGUGUAGGUGAAGUCCCUGCGGAUGGAGCUGAGACCAGUCGAAGAUACCAGCUGGCUGCAACUGUUUAUUAAAAACACAGCACUGUGCAAACACGAAAGUGGACGUAUACGGUGUGACGCCUGCCCGGUGCCGGAAGGUUAAUUGAUGGGGUUAUCCGUAAGGAGAAGCUCUUGAUCGAAGCCCCGGUAAACGGCGGCCGUAACUAUAACGGUCCUAAGGUAGCGAAAUUCCUUGUCGGGUAAGUUCCGACCUGCACGAAUGGCGUAAUGAUGGCCAGGCUGUCUCCACCCGAGACUCAGUGAAAUUGAACUCGCUGUGAAGAUGCAGUGUACCCGCGGCAAGACGGAAAGACCCCGUGAACCUUUACUAUAGCUUGACACUGAACAUUGAGCCUUGAUGUGUAGGAUAGGUGGGAGGCUUUGAAGCGUGGACGCCAGUCUGCGUGGAGCCAACCUUGAAAUACCACCCUUUAAUGUUUGAUGUUCUAACGUUGGCCCCUGACCGGGGUUGCGGACAGUGUCUGGUGGGUAGUUUGACUGGGGCGGUCUCCUCCCAAAGCGUAACGGAGGAGCACGAAGGUUAGCUAAUCCUGGUCGGACAUCAGGAGGUUAGUGCAAUGGCAUAAGCUAGCUUGACUGCGAGCGUGACGGCGCGAGCAGGUGCGAAAGCAGGUCAUAGUGAUCCGGUGGUUCUGAAUGGAAGGGCCAUCGCUCAACGGAUAAAAGGUACUCCGGGGAUAACAGGCUGAUACCGCCCAAGAGUUCAUAUCGACGGCGGUGUUUGGCACCUCGAUGUCGGCUCAUCACAUCCUGGGGCUGAAGUAGGUCCCAAGGGUAUGGCUGUUCGCCAUUUAAAGUGGUACGCGAGCUGGGUUUAGAACGUCGUGAGACAGUUCGGUCCCUAUCUGCCGUGGGCGCUGGAGAAUUGAGGGGGGCUGCUCCUAGUACGAGAGGACCGGAGUGGACGCAUCACUGGUGUUCGGGUUGUCAUGCCAAUGGCACUGCCCGGUAGCUAAAUGCGGAAGAGAUAAGUGCUGAAAGCAUCUAAGCACGAAACUUGCCCCGAGAUGAGUUCUCCCUGAGACU
RNAcentral lists this ribosomal RNA (2803 nucleotides) under Klebsiella pneumoniae. RNAcentral's name for it is "bacterial LSU rRNA". It matches the Rfam family "Bacterial large subunit ribosomal RNA". Lineage: Bacteria; Pseudomonadati; Pseudomonadota; Gammaproteobacteria; Enterobacterales; Enterobacteriaceae. The record is from RNAcentral.